AUUGAACGCUGGCGGCAUGCUUUACACAUGCAAGUCGAACGGCAGCGCGGGCUUCGGCCUGGCGGCGAGUGGCGAACGGGUGAGUAAUGCAUCGGAACGUGCCCAGUAGUGGGGGAUAGCCCGGCGAAAGCCGGAUUAAUACCGCAUACGACCUGAGGGUGAAAGCGGGGGACCGAAAGGCCUCGCGCUAUUGGAGCGGCCGAUGUCGGAUUAGCUAGUUGGUGGGGAAAAGGCUUACCAAGGCGACGAUCCGUAGCUGGUCUGAGAGGACGACCAGCCAAACGGGGACUGGAACCCGGCCCAGCCUCCAACGGGAGGCGGCAGGGGGGAAUUUGGGACAAGGGGGGCAACCCUGACCCAGCCAUGCCGCGUGGGGGAAAAAGGCCUUCGGGUUGUAAACCGUUUUUGUUCGGAAAGAAAUCCUGUGGGCUAAAACCCCGGGGGGAUGAGGGAACCGGAAGAAUAAGCACCGGCUAACUCCGG
This 483-nucleotide ribosomal RNA is filed under the name uncultured bacterium. Its description in RNAcentral is "partial 16S ribosomal RNA". It matches the Rfam family "Bacterial small subunit ribosomal RNA", at positions 29 to 506 of the family's 1533-position model. The record is from RNAcentral.